AUUGAACGCUGGCGGCAGGCCUAACACAUGCAAGUCGAACGAGUGGCGGACGGGUGAGUAAUGUCUGGGCAACUGCCCGAUGGCGGGGGAUAACUACUGGAAACGGUAGCUAAUACCGCAUACCAUCGGAUGUGCCCAUAUGGGAUUAGCUAGUAGGUGGGGUAAAGGCUCAACUAGGCGACGAUCCCUAGCUGGUCUGAGAGGAUGACCAGCCACAAUGGAACUGAGCCACGGUCCAGACUCCUACGGGAGGCAGCAGUGAGGAAGAGUGCACAAUGGGCGCAAGCCUGAUGCAGACAUGCCGCGUGUAUGAAGAAGGCCUUCGGGUUGUAAAGUACUUUCAGCGGGGAGGCGUUACCCGCAGAAGAAGCACCGGCUAACUCCGUGCCAGCCGCCGCGGUAAUUC
This 406-nucleotide ribosomal RNA is filed under the name uncultured bacterium. RNAcentral's name for it is "partial 16S ribosomal RNA". It matches the Rfam family "Bacterial small subunit ribosomal RNA", at positions 30 to 526 of the family's 1533-position model. The record is from RNAcentral.